UACGUAGGGCGCAAGCGUUGUCCGGAAUUAUUGGGCGUAAAGAGCUCGUAGGCGGCUUGUCACGUCGGGUGUGAAAGCCCGGGGCUUAACCCCGGGUCUGCAGUCGAUACGGGCAAACUAGAGUACUGCAGGGGAGACUGGAAUUCCUGGUGUAGCGGUGAAAUGCGCAGAUAUCAGGAGGAACACCGGUGGCGAAGGCGGGUCUCUGGGCAGUAACUGACGCUGAGGAGCGAAAGCGUGGGGAGCGAACAGG
Molecule: ribosomal RNA, 253 nt
Filed under: uncultured bacterium
Lineage: Bacteria
Description: partial 16S ribosomal RNA
Rfam family: Bacterial small subunit ribosomal RNA
Source: RNAcentral